Molecule: ribosomal RNA, 597 nt
Filed under: Septoriella oudemansii
Lineage: Eukaryota; Fungi; Ascomycota; Dothideomycetes; Pleosporales; Phaeosphaeriaceae
Description: eukaryotic LSU rRNA
Rfam family: 5.8S ribosomal RNA (bases 225-379)
Source: RNAcentral
UUUGACCUCGGAUCAGGUAGGGAUACCCGCUGAACUUAAGCAUAGUGAACCUGCGGAAGGAUCAUUAAAGAAAUGCGGCGGAGGGGCCCCAAAGGCCCCCGAGCCAACACGUUCUACCCUGUCUUUUCGAUACCUCUACCUCCUCCCCGGCCUCCGGGCCGGGAUGGCUACUUCAAAAAAACCUUGCAGUUUACAGUCAAUUCAGUACUUUGUAACAAAAUUACAACUUUCAACAAUGGAUCUCUUGGCUCUGGCAUCGAUGAAGAACGCAGCGAAAUGCGAUAAGUAGUGUGAAUUGCAGAAUUCAGCGAAUCAUCGAAUCUUUGAACGCACAUUGCGCCCUUCGGUUAUUCCUUAGGGCAUGCCUGUUCGAGCGUCAUUUCAACCUUCAAGCCUGGCUUGGUGUUGGGCGCUGUCCCGCCUCCGCGCGCGGACUCGCCCCAAAUGAAUUGGCAGUCGCACCCUCCGAGCCGCGAGCGCAGCACAAGUCGCGCGGGCGGAACUCUGGGGGGACGGACGCUCCACAAGACCCUUUCUCAGUCUUGACCUCGGAUCAGGUAGGGAUACCCGCUGAACUUAAGCAUAUCAAUAAGCGGA